UACGUAGGGACCAAGCGUUGUUCGGAUUUACUGGGCGUAAAGGGCGCGUAGGCGGCAAUUCAAGUCAGCUGUGAAAUCUCCGGGCUUAACUCGGAACGGUCAGCUGAUACUGCUUUGCUAGAGUGCAGAAGGGGCAAUCGGAAUUCUUGGUGUAGCGGUGAAAUGCGUAGAUAUCAAGAGGAACACCUGAGGUGAAGACGGGUUGCUGGGUUGACACUGACGCUGAGGCGCGAAAGCUAGGGUAGCAAACGGG
This 253-nucleotide ribosomal RNA is filed under the name uncultured bacterium. RNAcentral describes it as "partial 16S ribosomal RNA". It matches the Rfam family "Bacterial small subunit ribosomal RNA", at positions 524 to 776 of the family's 1533-position model. The record is from RNAcentral.